Long non-coding RNA from Carassius carassius (crucian carp), 1547 nucleotides. RefSeq lists it as uncharacterized. Lineage: Eukaryota; Metazoa; Chordata; Actinopteri; Cypriniformes; Cyprinidae. The transcript is spliced from 6 exons. The record is from RefSeq and is a predicted model, not a curated record.
AUACUGGUGUAAAGUGUAAGGCACAGGUGUCAAACUCAGUUCCCGGAGGGUCGCAGCCCUGCAGAGUUUAGUUCCAACCCUAAUUAAAUGCACCUUACUCAGCUAAUCGAGUCCUUAAGGUUUAUUUCAAAGUUAAAGGUAUGUUUCCUGGAGCAGGGCUGAGCCCCUUCAGGAACUGAGUUUGACACCUCUGGUGUAAGGUGUUCAAUUAUUAAUAUAUUUUUUUUCUCUCUCAUCAGGUCUUUCAAAUUUGCCUGCUCUUUAUUCCAAACCCCGACCACACAUACAGACAAACACACUCACUCACUCACUCACACACAAUAAAGGCACUUUUAAGAGCCACGUCUGUCCUGUUUACCUGUCUGUGCUGUAGUUUACUUGUCACUCUCUUUUUAGCUCUCUCUAUAUCUUUAUCUCUAUUUUCAUCUUUAUUUGUUUUAUUUGACCAUCCUUCCAGUUCUCUUAAUAGUUCCUAAAAAUCCUCUUUAUCAUAACAGUUUGUCCAUCUGUUGUUUGUUUUUGUGUAUAUUUCUUGUCUAGUCAUGACAAGGCCCAAAUUCAGGCCCUGCCCUUCUUGCCAGACUCCCAAUCAGGCAAGCAGGAAAACUUGUCAUGUCUGCUUUGGAAGCCUGUCCACCAAAAACAAAAUAAAAUAAAAAGUGGCAUCACUGGAUAGCCAGUGGGGGAAAUCUGUCCUUAAAAGCAGAAAUGCUGGGCGUAUAAUUGAUUCUGCCCGUAUUGCAGUGCAGAAACUUGAGGCUGUCGGAUACAAGCCAAUUUUAUUUAUUGGGAAACAGGACAAAAGGACUUCAAAUAAGUGGGUGGCAGAUAUUAUCACGCAUCUGCACCCCACUCCUGUCACCAAAGUGUUUUUGGAGAAGAUGCGGAGGGCUUAUGAGUUUAUCUUAACAAAAGCAACCUCCACAGCACAGCAGCCGGAGAGUGUCGCCGCGGAGCAGCCGGAGAGCCUCACCAAGCAGUCUGAAACUGUGUUUGUUCUCAAUCUUGUUCCUGUGUCUUGCUCGCUCUCUCCAACCUCUCUCUCUCCUCCUUCCUCUGCUACUUCUACAACUAUUCUUCCCUCACUUUCUUCCCCUCUUCCACCUCCACUGCGGCAAAGGAAAAGAAGGUUAAACACCUUUACCGCGUCUCUCGUACCCUGUUUCUCCUCCAUAUCCAUCUGCCUCUUCCAUUUCCAAGCCUUUGAGUCCGGAGGUGCCACUGGUAAAGAACAGAAGAAAAGGUUGUCAAAAAUGUAGUAGGCAGAAGGUUUUCCUUUUUGAUAAAAUAACUGGGGAACGAAUAAAUGAGGGGAAAGCUGAAUUGAAAGUUCACUGGUUGCCUUGCACUGUGUGUGGCAAAACCUGGGAUGACACAUGGGAGCCUGCGAGUGAAUUCCAACACAUUGUGCCAAAGUCCCCACAUCCCAACCAGCUUUCAGCAUGACAACAUAGUCACCAUAGACACCUGGACUCAUCAAGCACCCUUCAAUGCAGUUUAUUUUUGAGUGUUUUUGCUUGCUGUUUGUUCUUCAGUAAUUUUUUUGC